UACGGAGGGGGCUAGCGUUGUUCGGAAUUACUGGGCGUAAAGCGCACGUAGGCGGCUUUGUAAGUUAGAGGUGAAAGCCCGGGGCUCAACUCCGGAAUUGCCUUUAAGACUGCAUCGCUAGAAUUGUGGAGAGGUAAGUGGAAUUCCGGGUGUAGAGGUGAAAUUCGUAGAUAUUCGGAAGAACACCAGUGGCGAAGGCGACUUACUGGACACAUAUUGACGCUGAGGUGCGAAAGCGUGGGGAGCAAACGGG
RNAcentral lists this ribosomal RNA (253 nucleotides) under uncultured bacterium. Its description in RNAcentral is "partial 16S ribosomal RNA". It matches the Rfam family "Bacterial small subunit ribosomal RNA", at positions 524 to 776 of the family's 1533-position model. The record is from RNAcentral.